RNAcentral lists this ribosomal RNA (300 nucleotides) under uncultured Methanosalsum sp. Its description in RNAcentral is "bacterial SSU rRNA". It matches the Rfam family "Bacterial small subunit ribosomal RNA", at positions 496 to 795 of the family's 1533-position model. Lineage: Archaea; Methanobacteriati; Methanobacteriota; Methanomicrobia; Methanosarcinales; Methanosarcinaceae. The record is from RNAcentral.
GCUAACCACGGUCCAGCGGCGGCGGUAAUACGUGGGGUGCGAGCGUGAAUUGGAAGUACGUGGCGUAAAGCGUGCGCAGGCGGUUAGGUAAGACAGAGGGGAAAUCCCCGGGCUCAACCUGGGAACUGCCUUGGUGACUGCAUGGCUAGAGUGCGGCAGAGGGGGAUGGAAUUCCGCGUGUAGCAGUGAAAUGCGUAGAUAUGCGGAGGAACACCGAUGGCGAAGGCAAUCCCCUGGGCCUGCACUGACGCUCAUGCACGAAAGCGUGGGGAGCAAACAGGAUUAGAUACCCGGGUAGUC